UUUGAGGUGUUCUUCCCUGGCAGAUGCUCU
This 30-nucleotide non-coding RNA is filed under the name Mus musculus (house mouse). Lineage: Eukaryota; Metazoa; Chordata; Mammalia; Rodentia; Muridae. The record is from RNAcentral.